This 608-nucleotide ribosomal RNA is filed under the name Gammarus nekkensis. RNAcentral describes it as "SSU rRNA". It matches the Rfam family "Eukaryotic small subunit ribosomal RNA", at positions 1154 to 1619 of the family's 1831-position model. Lineage: Eukaryota; Metazoa; Arthropoda; Malacostraca; Amphipoda; Gammaridae. The record is from RNAcentral.
UGACGGAAAGGCACCACCAGGCGUGGAGCCUGCGGCUUAAUUUGACUCAACACGGGCCAUCUCACCAGGCCAGCACUCUUGUACGAUUGACAGAUUGAGAGCUCUUUCUCGAUUCAGUGGAUGGUGGUGCAUGGCCGUUCUUAGUUGGUGGAGUGAUCUGUCUGGUUAAUUCCGAUAACGAACGAGACUCUCCCCUGCUAACUAGUCGGUUGGAUCUUGAUCAGCGGGUUGCGUGCCGAGUAACUCUCGCUGUGCGUGGUUCGUAGCUGGGCCUCACGGUUCGUUGCGUCCUCGCGUGGUGUUGGAUGCCUUGGAUCACACUGCACCCCAAGUCCGCCGCUUAUGCUAUAACUCUUCUUAGAGGGAUUCACGGCACUGAAGCCGUAAGAGACUGAGAGCAAUAACAGGUCUGUGAUGCCCUUAGAUGCUCUGGGCCGCACGCGCGCUACAAUGCCGGGCACAGCAGGUGUUUCUCCUUCUCCGACAGGAGCGGGUAACCCUCUGAAAGCCAGUGUUCUUGCAAGUGCUUCCUCCCUCGUGGAGUUGCACAGAGGCGUGCUUGGGCCUGGGACUUGCAAUUCUUUCCCACCAACGAGGAAUGCCUAGUA